GACGAACGCUGGCGGCGUGCUUAACACAUGCAAGUCGAGCGGUAAGGCCCUUUCGGGGGUACACGAGCGGCGAACGGGUGAGUAACACGUGGGUGACCUGCCCUCAGCUCUGGGAUAAGCCUGGGAAACCGGGUCUAAUACUGGAUAUGACUCCAUGACGCAUGUUGUGGGGUGGGAAAGCCUUGUGCGGCUGAGGAUGGGCCCGCGGCCUAUCAGCUUGUUGGUGGGGUGAUGGCCUACCAAGGCGACGACGGGUAGCCGGCCUGAGAGGGCGACCGGCCACACUGGGACUGAGACACGGCCCAGACUCCUACGGGAGGGCGAGCAGUGGGGAAGUCUUGUCGCAAUGGGCGAAGACCUGACGCAGCGACGCCGCGUGAGGGA
This 384-nucleotide ribosomal RNA is filed under the name uncultured bacterium. Its description in RNAcentral is "bacterial SSU rRNA". It matches the Rfam family "Bacterial small subunit ribosomal RNA", at positions 28 to 408 of the family's 1533-position model. The record is from RNAcentral.